AGACAGCAGUCGCCGCGGUAAUCCGUAGGUCCCGAGCGUUGUCCGGAUUUAUUGGGCGUAAAGCGAGCGCAGGCGGUUAGAAAAGUCUGAAGUGAAAGGCAGUGGCUCAACCAUUGUAGGCUUUGGAAACUGUUUAACCUGAGUGCAGAAGGGGAGAGUGGAAUUCCACGUGUAGCGGUGUAAUGCGUAGAUAUAUGGAGGAACACCGGUGGCGAAAGCGGCUCUCUGGCCUGUAACUGACGCUGAGGCUCGAAAGCGUGGGGAGCGAACAGGAUUAGAGACCCCUGUAGUCCCUGUCUCUUAUACA
Molecule: ribosomal RNA, 307 nt
Filed under: uncultured bacterium
Lineage: Bacteria
Description: partial 16S ribosomal RNA
Rfam family: Bacterial small subunit ribosomal RNA
Source: RNAcentral